GACGAACGCUGGCGGCGUGCUUAACACAUGCAAGUCGAGCGGUAAGGCCCUUUCGGGGGUACACGAGCGGCGAACGGGUGAGUAACACGUGGGUGACCUGCCCUCAGCUCUGGGAUAAGCCUGGGAAGCUGGGUCUAAUACUGGAUAUGACUCCACGGUGCAUGUCGUGGGGUGGAAAGCCUUGUGCGGCUGAGGAUGGGCCCGCGGCCUAUCAGCUUGUUGGGGGGUGAUGGCCUACCAAGGCGACGACGGGUAGCCGGCCUGAGAGGGCGACCGGCCACACUGGGACUGAGACACGGCCCAGACUCCUACGGGAGGCAGCAGUGGGGAAUCUUGCGCAAUGGGCGAAAGCCUGACGCAGCGACGCCG
This 369-nucleotide ribosomal RNA is filed under the name uncultured bacterium. RNAcentral's name for it is "bacterial SSU rRNA". It matches the Rfam family "Bacterial small subunit ribosomal RNA", at positions 28 to 399 of the family's 1533-position model. The record is from RNAcentral.